ACGUUCAACAUGAUCCGAGCUGCCAGUAUUAUAUGGGUGUUAGUGAUAUGUCCUGGAGGUUUUUCCCAGAGUAAUCGUGUUAACCAGAAUCCUCUUGAUGUCUUUGGCAAUCAUCAAAAAUCUGUUAAAAUCCAGUGUGACCACAGUGUACCAAGUUAUGAUCGAAUCCUUUGGUACAGACAAGACCAGGGACUGACCUUUAUUGGAUAUCAAUGGGGAACAACAUCACAACAAAUUGAAAAUGAUUUUAAGAUUAAAGUGGACAUCGUUGGGGAUGGAAGCAAAAAUGUCUCUUUGACCAUCAAAAAUCUUUUAUCCAAUGACAGUGCAGUGUACUUCUGUGCUGCUUAUUACACAAUGUUCAAGGAUAUUGAUUUCUCAAUUAAAUCUCAGUUAAAGUUCAUGGAAGCACUGCAUCCCAGUCCCAGUCCCAGUGAGAAUGAUUUCAAUAUUUCCUUCUUUUGA
Hemibagrus wyckioides is the source of this 465-nucleotide non-coding RNA. NCBI's taxonomy places the organism in Eukaryota, Metazoa, Chordata, Actinopteri, Siluriformes, Bagridae. The record is from the annotation of a RefSeq genome assembly.